CUAGCAGCAAAAAGAACUUCAGA
RNAcentral lists this microRNA (23 nucleotides) under Gallus gallus (chicken). RNAcentral's name for it is "gga-miR-1551-5p". The record is from miRBase by way of RNAcentral. Lineage: Eukaryota; Metazoa; Chordata; Aves; Galliformes; Phasianidae.